UGAAGUUUGUUCUGCUGGAGCACCGAUGGCCAUAUAUAUGUUUCUUUAAUUAAUUUAGCAACGUUUGAUGAUCCAAAAUUGAAAAUGAGACGGUAGCUGCUGCCUUUGACAUGAUCCAUCCUCCCUGACACUCAUGCUAACAACUAAAUUUGAAACUGUUGUGCAGCAUGACUCCGACAGUGACCCUGCUGCGAAGGCGACAAGGAAACCGUUGCUGUUCGUCGUCAGGGAAAAAGAAAAGGGCAACGAUGGCCGUUUCCUGUCCAUGAUCUGCCAAUGAGACACCAAAGAAAUUUCAACAACAGUGAUGCUUUUCGUCUCCAGGUAACACUUGGGAUGCAUGAUAGGAAGGGUCUUUAUCUUGCGAGAUGCUAAUUUCCCGGGGGGAAAUUAUCAAAUAUGUGAAUUUACGAACCGGAUUUUCCGAAUCAGGAGGCCAACCGCACAAGGUACUAUCUAUCUGGAACAGUGGUAGGAGCAAGACAGUCGGGUGUUUUAUGCAACAGUUGAGCUGUAGGCGUGUACCAU
Molecule: long non-coding RNA, 528 nt
Filed under: Sorghum bicolor (sorghum)
Lineage: Eukaryota; Viridiplantae; Streptophyta; Magnoliopsida; Poales; Poaceae
Description: long non-coding RNA (SBIC_LNC000667)
Source: RNAcentral